Tarenaya hassleriana is the source of this 1080-nucleotide RNA transcript. RefSeq lists it as uncharacterized. The transcript has 5 exons. The record is from RefSeq and is a predicted model, not a curated record. Lineage: Eukaryota; Viridiplantae; Streptophyta; Magnoliopsida; Brassicales; Cleomaceae.
UGGGCCUCGUAAUAGGUCAAAUACUGGGCUGAGCCUCGGCCUCGUUAAGACACUGAUCACGAGCAGUGACCGUCUCCGGGGAGCUAGGGUUCGCCAUGGUGGAACCUUCCAAUAACUCAGACCUUGAACCUGACAAUCCCAACAGCACUGCUCCGAAUUCCGACGGCCCAACGAAGAUCUCAUCAUCCGUCGCCAUGGAUUCUUCUCCUGUCACCCCAAGCCGACUUGUCUACGUACGUCGACGGCUCGAGAAUAAUCCCAAUUCAUCGACCGAUUCCCAAUCCAAGCAACCAACCGUCUCCGGUGUUCCUCCACCUAAGACUGAGCUAUCACCCCCGCCGGGAUCUCUCUCCGGUGGGUUAGACUGGGAAGACCGAUACCAUCAGCUUCAAAUUCUUCUGAACAAACUCGAUGAAUCUGAUCCCAAGGAUUAUGUUCAGAUGCUUCGAUCUCUUCCCUCUCUCGACCUCAGCAGACAUGCCGUUCAGUUGGAGAAGAGAUCUAUUCAACUCUCUCUCGAGGAAGCGAAAGAGAUGCAGCGUGUGGCAGCGUUAAAUGUUCUUGGAAGGUCAUUGAACAAUGAUCAAAAUUCUCCACCAAAUUCCAAAGGCUAGAUCCAUACAUCCAUCCGUCUUAAGAUUCAACACAAAGCAGAGGCCUGCCCGAGAGGUUCCCAUUUGGUGAAAGAUGGAAUGCAAAAGGGGACGGGGAAAAGAAAAAGAAGAAGAAAAUGGUUUCGUGAGCUGCUGUCCUGUGAUCACUCUGCAGUCAUAUCCCCCCAUCAUCCGAAUGUGUGUUUUGAGUUGGAUAUUCUCCCACGAGUUUGGAACUUGCAAUGCUGUAAUAGAUUCUCCCAACUCCUGUGAUUAGCUGUCGCAUCUUAUCUGGAAUCUAUCACGUCUCUACGUAUUAAGGAAGGAAACACCCACCGAAUGUGCAUAUAGAUUCAAUCAGAAGCGCAUGUAUACAAAAAAAAAACUUGAUUUAAUUCCAAAUCACUUGUUUGUAAUAAACACUUGAAUUGUGUAAUAGCUCGGGGGGAAGAAUAUUGAUUGGUAACAUGAAAUAUAAUACAAUAUC